RNAcentral lists this long non-coding RNA (1392 nucleotides) under Mus musculus (house mouse). RNAcentral's name for it is "RNA imprinted and accumulated in nucleus". The stretch from base 1242 to 1315 matches the Rfam family "Small nucleolar RNA SNORD113/SNORD114 family". The record is from RNAcentral. Lineage: Eukaryota; Metazoa; Chordata; Mammalia; Rodentia; Muridae.
UGGGCAAUGAGCCAUGGGCCAACAAUAUUCAAUGCUGUGUACCUGAUGGAUGGUUACUGUCUGAGACUGAGGCUUUUUGGGCCAGGAGUAAAAGGACUUGGUUUGUACUUGAUUGCGUCCUGUGGAUGCUUGCCUACCAACUGACUCAUCCUGACGUGCCAAAGGUCCUGGCUUUCCCCUGUGUGGGUAAGGGAAGAAGAGAGUUCUUUCCCACAAAGCCAGAACUCGGGAGUUUCUAUGUGUGAUCUCUCGUCAGUUUGCUUGUGAGAUGUCAGGUGAUGUGGCGGUUUGUCUAUGCGUGGGUGAUCUGUCUGCAAGGUUCAUGUUCAUGGCUGGCUGCUGAUGGGGACCACAACUUUGCCACAAGAGCUUUCUUCAUUGUUCCUAGUUCACUUCAACCCCACGAUCCUAAGCACACCUGUACCUGCCCUGGAAUCCCUCAGCCAUGUUUGUCCCACAGAGCAUCACUAUCAAACAGUUCACUGUGGACUCCUCGUAGCAGAAGUACAGUAGGGGACAGCAAGUGUCAGCUCCAUCAGGACCCCUGAUUUAAUUAUUUACUGUGGAACCAUUGUCCUGAGUCAGGAGGAUAGAUGAGGAAAGAAUGAGAGCGUGGCUGGCAUCGCUUCAUGAUUACAUUCUGGGAAAGAUCUUGCCUGUUAACCUCUAGAGAAGGAGGGACGAUACAGACAAUGAAGACUAUAGCAGACUGAAUUACUCUCUGAGAUGAGGACUUUGCUAUUGCCAUUGCAGAACCACUGGUGGAAGUUGUUGUUAAACAGUGGGUCUUGCAUGCAAGCUCUACAGUUAUGCACAGUAUUUCCAUGACAUCCCAAGCCAUGAGGUUCAUGCUGCCAUAUCCCCCUGUUUAACAAGUGUGGAAACUGAUAAUGGACUCACAAUUGCUGAUGUAUAGGUUCUAAUGUUUUCUAUUGUGGACACGGGACACCCAGACUGAGAACCAAUGGCUCCAGUCUGAUUUAAACAUGGGUCCGUGCUCACACACUCAAUACCUACCCUCUGUGCUCACAAGUCCUGUGUGAGUAAGACUCCAAAUUAUUCUGUCUUGUUUUACUCAAUGGUAUGCUCUACCUUAUUAUAGAGUAUACCAUGUAUUGAGACAAGAAUGCCAGUCAUUCUGAGAAACAAAAUGCAACCAUUAGUUGUCAUUUUAAUUAGUGACGAAUAGUUGUGUCAAUCAUCAAACAUGCUUGUAUAAUUGGAUGAGAAGAGGUGUAACACGGGCCAAUGAUGACGAGGUUUCGGGAUUAUAAGUCACGGACGAUGACUACGUCACUAGAGGUCUGAGGUCCAUAGCAGAAGAUGCCUCAUGUGACCCUCUCAUGCAGGGGUUGCAUGUCAGGCAUGUGCAUACAGUAGAUAUUAGCCAUG